RNAcentral lists this ribosomal RNA (648 nucleotides) under Triticum aestivum (bread wheat). RNAcentral describes it as "partial small subunit ribosomal RNA". Lineage: Eukaryota; Viridiplantae; Streptophyta; Magnoliopsida; Poales; Poaceae. The record is from RNAcentral.
AUGGCAUCAAGGGUUGUGUUCUCCAACAGGAUCCCGCUGGUGCGCGCCAUGGAGAACCUCCUGGCCGCGUCGUCCGGCUCGGCGCUCCGGCCGGCUGCCGUCGCCGGCGGCGUCCGCGGGUACAACGCCGGCGCGCCCCUCCGGAGCUACGACAGGGACGAGGCGGUCGAAGACACCCGCCGCGUCGCGCGCGAGCGCGACAUCGGCGUGCCCAGCUUCUUCUCAGGUAAUGUGUUCCGUGAUCCGUUCAGCGCGCCGCAGAGCCUGGGCCGGCUGCUGAGCAUGCUGGACGACGUGGCGGCGGCGUCCCCCGAUGGCGCCGCGCGGGCCGCGCCGAUGCGGCGCGGGUGGAACGCGAGGGAGGACGCGGACGCGCUGCGGCUGAGGGUGGACAUGCCGGGGCUGGGCAAGGAACACGUGAAGGUGUGGGCGGAGCAGAACAGCCUGGUGAUCAAGGGCGAGGGCGAGAAGGAGUCGGAGCAGGAGGGGGCCGACGCCCCGAGGUACAGCGGCCGGCUCGAGCUCGCCGGGGACGUGUACCGGAUGGACCAGAUCAAGGCCGAGAUGAAGAACGGCGUGCUCAGGGUGGUCGUGCCCAAGGUCAAGGAGGAGGAGCGCAAGGACGUCUUCGAGGUCAACGUCGACUAG